This 687-nucleotide long non-coding RNA is filed under the name Rattus norvegicus (Norway rat). RNAcentral describes it as "long non-coding RNA NONRATT013308". The record is from RNAcentral. Lineage: Eukaryota; Metazoa; Chordata; Mammalia; Rodentia; Muridae.
UUCUUUCUCUGCUCUCACGCGGCGCGUAGUAUGGGUUUCCUGGUAGCUGGGGCUUGGGAGGUGGCUGUGGCCUGCUAUCUAGCGUGUCCGCGGUAGACUUUGGCCUACGUCCCCUUCCCGGGAAAUCGGGGGAUGGCCCUAACUCGGUGGCCGCGUGAGGAGCACGGCCCGCCGGACCCCGCGUGAAGUGGGUCGGUGUGGAAGCCGAGCUCCGUUUGCGACGUAGAUCUCCGCCGCAUGCCCAGGCGCACAACUGGGCGGAAAUGGCGCGGACAUCCAAGUCACAAGGUAGGUGUCUGAAGCUGACGGAUAACUUCCAGAACGACACGCGGGAGCACAGAGUGGCUUAAGGUAGGAUGACUACAGAGCACCAGGUGUGGGAUUUCCUUUUAAGUUGGAAUGCCGAAUCAUUAGUCUUCUUCUCUUGUACUGCCGCUGCAGUUACAAUCUGGAGUUAAUGCGGACGGUAACUCAGAAAUGACAGCCUUUACCUAUAAGUCAAAAAUAGGAUAGUUUUACCAACACUAAAGGCUUUGAGUGGAGAUAGGUUACCAGAUAAGUUUUUUGAGACAGGCACUAAAAGCGUUUUUAUCUUUCCUUUUAGGAUGUCCUCGAUGAUUUGGAAAUUGGAUCUUAAGAGGCAUGGGUGACUUAAAGUGUGUCAAAACUCCACAGAUGGACGUACAC